UACAUAUUUAAUCAUUUUUUUUGCAGAAAGUUUUGGCGCAUGUUUGGUAUUUUUUUUUUUUUUUUUUUUUGUAUUAUUCUCUAUCCAAAUGGAAGUUAAAAGCUCAUCAUCAACAUCAUUUAAGUUUUAGAUAAUUAAUUAAGUAUUUAAUAUAUGAUUUAAUUAAGUGGUCAAGUGUUGUCAUGUGUGUCUUUGGUUGGUAUUUAGCAAUAAAAAGGGUGUUGUACAAAAUUGUAACAGAGUGGGAUUUUACAGUGAAAAUCUUUGUUUUGGAGUUGUAACUUUUGUAAAAGAAUGGGUAGUUUUAUCACAAACAUUCCUAAUAAAAUGUCUUAGCAGAAGGAUCAGCCUUAGCAGAAGGACCCACUAAUUAAAUUGCAAUUUUACAUUACUUGAUUUGCAAAAGUAUUUUUGGUUUACAAAUUAAACUUUAGUUCAGUAGAUGUUCUAGAUGUUGAAACUAAUGUGAGGGAGUGGAAGAGAGAUGUGAGUUCUUGGGAGUGUGGAUGAGAAGUGAGUUUUGAGGAGAAAUUAGGAUUGCUAUAGUAAGUAGCUCUACCUCAAGUAGUUGAAAGUUAUCAUUGUUGUUACACUUUGCUCUCGUUCCUGUAUAAAACGUAGUGAGAUUUACAGAUUAUAUUUAUGGUAUAUGUUUUUUCACUAGACCAAAUGUUUCAUGUAUGUUAGGAAAAAAAUGCAAAAAAGGGGUUGUUUAUGUUAUUUUUAUAUUUCUUUUAAAGGUGAAAAGUGGUGGAAUUAAGAGUUUCAAACUAUGGAAGUAGUAAAAUUUGGAAGAGGGACGUGUGAUAGAAUAUAAUGGUAGUGUCAUCUAGGACAAUGAAGCACGAAUAGUCAAAGAGGAAAUGAAAUGCCAACAAUGUCAUGAAAAACAGUUAAAGGUUCAACCUUGAAUUAUUAUUAUUAUUAUUCAUGUUAAAUCUUCUUUUUUUUAGUGUUUAAAGCCAUGUAUUCAGAGGAAAAUCCGGAGCUUGUGCUGCAUUCCUUGCAAAUUAUGAUACUAGAUCAACUGUAAGAGUGAGUUUCAACAAUUUGCCAUAUGACCUCCCACCUUGGUCCAUUAGCGUUCUUCCAGACUGCAAAAGUACUGUAGUUUACGACACUGCAAAGCUAAGAAAAUUACUAAUGAUUAUGUUGAACUAAUAAUAACUCAGUUACUUCAAGCAUAUAAAGUUCUAUUGCAAUGGGCAAAGUGGGUUUUAAAACCACUAUUAGGUUGUUACUAUGAUUAUGAUAUUUUCUUUGAACAUUGUCUAUGGCUCAAGUCGAUACUUUUUCCUCACCUGCUUGUUCCACGGACUCCUUGCUCCUCUCUACAAGGUAGGAAUAAUAUUUAGUGUAUAAUUUUUUUUUCUAAGAUUGUAUUUUUUAAUUAAUUACUCUCUUCUUGUUCUUUUCUUUAACUGUUUUUUUUUAUACAUAUGGAGGAUAGGCUUGUGUAUUGUAAGUGCAAAUUUUUACUUAGUUAUGAAGGUUGGACUUAUAUAUUGAAAGUAUUGUAAGAAAUAUUUAUUAUAUACACUUUAUGUAAUAUUACUCAUGUAAUUGUCUUAAUUUGAAUUUAUUUUUUAUUAA
Long non-coding RNA from Cannabis sativa, 1593 nucleotides. RefSeq lists it as uncharacterized. The record is from RefSeq and is a predicted model, not a curated record. Lineage: Eukaryota; Viridiplantae; Streptophyta; Magnoliopsida; Rosales; Cannabaceae. The transcript is spliced from 2 exons.